UACAGAGGUCUCAAGCGUUGUUCGGAUUCAUUGGGCGUAAAGGGCGCGUAGGCGGCGCGGUAAGUCGGGUGUGAAAUCUCGGGGCUUAACUCCGAAACUGCAUUCGAUACUGCCGUGCUUGAGGACUGGAGAGGAGACUGGAAUUUACGGUGUAGCGGUGAAAUGCGUAGAUAUCGGAAGGAAGACCAGUGGCGAAGGCGGGUCUCUGGACAGUUCCUGACGCUGAGGCACGAAGGUCAGGGGAGCAAACGGG
RNAcentral lists this ribosomal RNA (253 nucleotides) under uncultured bacterium. Its description in RNAcentral is "partial 16S ribosomal RNA". It matches the Rfam family "Bacterial small subunit ribosomal RNA", at positions 524 to 776 of the family's 1533-position model. The record is from RNAcentral.